Molecule: ribosomal RNA, 424 nt
Filed under: uncultured bacterium
Lineage: Bacteria
Description: partial 16S ribosomal RNA
Rfam family: Bacterial small subunit ribosomal RNA
Source: RNAcentral
GUUAGGAAUAUUGGACAAUGGGCGCAAGCCUGAUCCAGCCAUGCCGCGUGAGUGAUGAAGGCCUUCGGGUUGUAAAGCUCUUUAGCCGAUGAUUAUAAUGACUGUAGUCGGAAAAUAAGCCCCGGCUAACUUCGUGCCAGCAGCCGCGGUAAUACGAAGGGGGCGAGCGUUAUUCGGAAUCACUGGGCGUAAAGCGUGCGUAGGCGGCUUUGCAAGUUGGGAGUGAAAGCCCAGGGCUCAACCCUGGAAUUGCUCUCAAAACUGCAAGGCUCGAAUUGGGAGAGGAUAGCGGAAUUGUCAGUGUAGCAGUGAAAUGCGUAGAUAUUGACAGGAACACCAGUGGCGUAAGCGGCUAUCCGGACCGAUAUUGACGCUGAGGCACGAAAGCGUGGGGAUCAAACAGGAUUAGAUACCCCUGUAGUCC